AGGCUCGUAGCUCAGUUGGUUAGAGCACCACCUUGACAUGGUGGGGGUCGUUG
This 53-nucleotide transfer RNA is filed under the name Burkholderia pseudomallei 1258b. RNAcentral's name for it is "partial tRNA-Val". It matches the Rfam family "tRNA", at positions 1 to 50 of the family's 71-position model. Rfam says of the family: Transfer RNA (tRNA) molecules are approximately 80 nucleotides in length. Their secondary structure includes four short double-helical elements and three loops (D, anti-codon, and T loops). Lineage: Bacteria; Pseudomonadati; Pseudomonadota; Betaproteobacteria; Burkholderiales; Burkholderiaceae. The record is from RNAcentral.